GACGAACGCUGGCGGCGUGCUUAACACAUGCUAGUCGAACGGAAAGGCCUUUUCCGACGUACUCGAGUGGCGAACAGGUGAGUAACACGUGGGUGAUCUGCCCUGCACUCUGGGAUAAGCCUGGGAAACUGGGUCUAAUACCGGAUAGGACUGCACUUUAGUGUGUGUGGUGAAAAGUUUUUUCGGUGUACGAUGAGCCCGCGCCCUAUCAGCUUGUUGGUGGGGUAAUGGCCUACCAAGGCGGCCACCGGUACCCGGACUGAAAGGUUGGUCGGCCACGUUGUGACUGAGAUACUGCCCACACUCCUACGGGAGGCAGCAUGGGGAAAUAUUGCCCACUGGGGGCCAGCCUGAUGCAGCGACACCACGUGGGGGAUGACAUGCCUUCGGGUUGUAAACUCCUUUCGGCAGCGACGAAUCGUUUUGUGACGGCACCUGGAUAAGACGCUCCGGCUAACUACCUGCCAUCAGCCUCAGUAAUACCCAUGGUGCCAGCCUCGUCCGGAAUUACUGUGCGUGCAUAGCUCGUAGGUGGUUUGUCCGUCGUCUGUGAAAUUCCACAGCUUAACUGUGGGCGUGCAGGCGAUACGGGCUGACUUGAGUACUGUAGGGGUAACUGGAAUUCCUGGUGUAGCGGUGAAAUGCGCAGAUAUCAGGAGGAACACCGAUGGCGAAGGCAGGUUACUGGGCAGUUACUGACGCUGAGGAGCGAAAGCAUGGGUAGCAAACAGGAUUAGAUACCCUGGUAGUCCAUGCCGUAAACGGUGGGCGCUAGGUGUAGGGGCCUUUUGGGGUUUCUGUGCCGUAGCUAACGCAUUAAGCGCCCCGUCUGGGGAGUACGGCCGCAAGGCUAAAACUCAAAGGAAUUGACGGGGGCCCGCACAAGCGGCGGAGCAUGUGGAUUAAUUCGAUGCAACGCGAAGAACCUUACCUGGGCUUGACAUACACCGGAUCGCUGCAGAGAUGUAGUUUCCCUUGUGGCUGGUGUACAGGUGGUGCAUGGCUGUCGUCAGCUCGUGUCGUGAGAUGUUGGGUUAAGUCCCGCAACGAGCGCAACCCUUGUCUUAUGUUGCCAGCACGUUAUGGUGGGGACUCAUGAGAGACUGCCGGGGUUAACUCGGAGGAAGGUGGGGACGACGUCAAGUCAUCAUGCCCCUUAUGUCCAGGGCUUCACACAUGCUACAAUGGCCGGUACAAUGCGCAGCGAGCCUGUGAGGGUGAGCUAAUCGCUUAAAGCUGGUCUUAGUUCGGAUUGGGGUCUGCAACUCGACCCCAUGAAGUCGGAGUCGCUAGUAAUCGCAGAUCAGCAAUGCUGCGGUGAAUACGUUCCCGGCCCU
This 1337-nucleotide ribosomal RNA is filed under the name uncultured bacterium. Its description in RNAcentral is "bacterial SSU rRNA". It matches the Rfam family "Bacterial small subunit ribosomal RNA", at positions 28 to 1381 of the family's 1533-position model. The record is from RNAcentral.